Molecule: long non-coding RNA, 639 nt
Organism: Aedes albopictus (Asian tiger mosquito)
Lineage: Eukaryota; Metazoa; Arthropoda; Insecta; Diptera; Culicidae
Exons: 3
Source: RefSeq, a predicted model, not a curated record
CACAAACAAAUCCGACCAACCAAACACCACCAACUAUAAACACUCCACAGUAACCCCAAUCUGGCGAACAAGAACAGAAGUGUUCCCAAAGUGCCAAGUGUUGCGACUCGAACGGUUAAACGUACCACCCACCCACCAUCUCAACCAGGGUGCUGGUUGGUCUAAUGUUACAAGUGCGGUGCCCGAACCCAAUGCAAACGACAUUCCACCGUGUGAUCAACACGAUCUUCACAAGUUGAUUCAUAUCGAGCCCUGAUGAAGAUCCCAACCAUAGGAUCGAAACGUAGGCAAUGAUUUAGAAUAAUCAACGCUUUUUCUGUGACUGAAAGCCGAAAACCUACCAAGUUUCCAUAGAUCCAGUCAGUCCCCGUAAGAAAUCACAAUUUAAGAAGUGAGUUCAUCAUAUUUUAUAGAGGUUCACCCAAAUUUCCCAGAAUUACCUGAUGAAUUUUUGGAUUAUUUGAGGGAUUUCUGGCGUAAUUCCUCCAAGCGAUUUGUACUGGAAUACUUUAAGAUAAUUUUAGAGGGAUACAGGAGACAGGAAGUUCUUCAAGAAGUCAUCCAGGAAUUCUCUCACAAUUAUCUCCAAAUAAUCUUUAAGGAGUUCAUCCACAGAUUUAUCCAUGAAUUCCUUCAAGA